GCCAGCCUGCCAGUGACCUAGUUCAACGGCCGCGGUAUCCUAACCGUGCGAAGGUAGCGUAAUCACUUGUUCUUUAAAUGAGGACUAGUAUGAAUGGCACCACGAGGGUUAAACUGUCUCCUUUUUUUAAUCAGUGAAACUAAUCUCCCCGUGAAGAAGCGGGGAUUCUUUUAUAAGACGAGAAGACCCUAUGGAGCUUUAAACAAGUUAACACCUGCUACUAAUCUUCACUUUCCUGAACCACCACAUUAAGUAUAGCACCUCUGAUUAACAGUUUUCGAUUGGGGUGAUCAUGGAGCAAAAAUCAACCUCCACGACGAAAAGGAACACCUCCUUGAGCCAAAAGCUACAACUUUAAGCACUAAAAAACUAAUGACCCAAUUCUUUGAGCAACGAACCAAGUUACCCUAGGGAUAACAGCGCAAUCCACUUUAAGAGCUCCUAUCGACAAGUGGGUUUACGACCUCGAUGUUGGAUCAGGGUAUCCCAGUGGUGCAGCCGCUACUAAAGGUUCGUUUGUUCAACGAUUAAAACCCUACGUGAUCUGA
Molecule: ribosomal RNA, 548 nt
Filed under: Boana raniceps (Chaco treefrog)
Lineage: Eukaryota; Metazoa; Chordata; Amphibia; Anura; Hylidae
Description: Hypsiboas raniceps (Chaco treefrog) partial 16S ribosomal RNA
Rfam family: Bacterial large subunit ribosomal RNA
Source: RNAcentral